Long non-coding RNA from Chelonia mydas (Green sea turtle), 4851 nucleotides. RefSeq lists it as uncharacterized. The transcript is spliced from 6 exons. The record is from RefSeq and is a predicted model, not a curated record. Lineage: Eukaryota; Metazoa; Chordata; Testudines; Cheloniidae.
ACCAUUUCUUCUAUAAACCAUAACAAACCCUGCACAAACUGAAAUUACCUGCUAAUUUUUGUAGAUGCUCAAAACGUGAAAAGGAUUAAAAACGUACAUUUUUGGAUUGGCUGAGUAUAAAGACGUUCUGGGAUGGAAUCUUAAUUACAAGUCAUACUCAUAGAAUCAUUUGAGGGUAUAUUUCAUCUUUGUUGACUUUGCAUAUGCUACCAGGUUAUUCAAAAAUAUGAAAUAGUUCUGCAAUGGGGUACCAAUGUUUGCUUCAAAGGUGUUGAUUCUGUUGAGACAGGGUUAACAGGGUGCUGCUGACUCACUGAAGCAGGUGGAUCAUUACCGUUGCCAAGAUACCAGGAAGUUUAGUGUGGCUCCCUAGAGGGAGUGGUUCUAGGAUGGCAACUGAGCAGUCUUGAGGAAGGAACAUUCAGUUACAGGCAAGCUAGAGUUGAACUUUCUUGUAUUUUUGUUAAUUACUGUAAUAAUUUUACAAAUUUUGUUAAAUAUUGUAAUUACUGUAAUAAAAGGAAACCCCAGUCAGAGGGUUAUUUUGGAAUCUACAUCAUAUAUUAAUUUUGUUUCAGAGUAGGUUGGGAAAUAUACCUAGUAACCAUCUUCUAAACCAUAAUAAACCCCAAAGAUUGGGAGGAGAGGAGACCACACACACACACACACUAUUUUCUGAAAAGAAAUAGUCCAGACGCAAAACAAGAUGGAUGAAUGUAGGAGAACUAAGUGAAGUAUUUCUAAAUUGAUAGUGGAAGGAAAGACUGUGUGUAGCAGACAGACAGCCAACAAGUAGGCAGCCAGAUGUCUGAUAUAAGUUCAAGGAGAUUUAAGAGUUUUUAUUGUUUUUGUUGAUUUUAUGGUGUACUGAAAGAAAGAAACGUUUGGGGUUGGGAAGGGGGAAUACUGUUUUGAAUGUUACUCAGGAAAUGCUUGGAAGAAGAUAAGUUAAAAUGAUGCUAAUGCUUUGUUUAUAGCAUCUGCCAUGGGAGGAUCCCAAAGCACUGUACAAAUGAUAAUGAAACAAAUCUCACAUCACUUCUGUGAGUUAGGGAAAUAUUAUUACACCAGUGCAGUAGAUAACCUCUCUGUGCCUGUUUAAGUGACUACCUUAAGGUCCAUAUACAUCAAAAUUUGGUGUUGACAAUUUCUGUCUCUUCCCUUUUAGUUAUCUUCUGGAAAUCACCUUUAUAAGCAUUCCAAACUUUAGCCUCUUCUCAGAGCUAAGGACAAUGAGAGUCAAUUGGCCUAUCCCAACAGAUGAGACACCUUGCCAGGAGAGCAUUAAUGAAGCUAAAGCUAAAAUACACAGUUCCCAGGAAAGGAAAGCUCUUAUGCUUGAUAAAGAUUUUUCCAACUACUGUUAAUUUCUCAAACCAAAGACUCCCAUAAUUUUACUUAUGGAUGAGACUUCCAUCUCUCUUGGUCUAGCUAAGGAGAACCACGGCCAGGCAACAGACAAGUGUAACUGUCCCCUUUCUGUGUGGAGUACCUAAUUGUCUCGUAUGCUAGAUAGAAACUGUGAUGCUGGCUUGCCAGGUGUCAGCUCAUGCCAAGGCCCAUAGCUGGAAACCAUGUUGGCUUACCUGUGGGUGAGUAUAGUUAAAACAGAUAUUAGCGUUGUAAGAAUGUGUGUUUAAUGUUUAGACUUUAUGGAAUACUUGUAGGAUGCUGCACAUAAUAAUUCUACUUAUAAUAUCUGUAUCCCAUGGUGUAAAGUUAUAUUGAGUGUUUGCUUUGUAAACCUCUAUAAUUGUGUAACUCACUAAACAAGAGAAGACACGUUAAUUUAGAAUAAAGUGCUGGCCCUGCAGACAAGAGGGCCUUUGAAACCAAAUGAGCCAUUGUAAGAUAUCAAAAGGAUAUGUUGUUGUUUGCCCUCCCCACUUUUGUCAGACACCCACAUUUGUUCCAUCAGUUUGGACUCUGGGGAGAAUAGGAUAAAAAUCCUUGACAAGAAGAAACUAGGUCUCUUUAUGCUGUCUGGACUCUGAGGGACAAAGAUUCCUAAACAUAAGCAAGAGAUCCCCAUGCUCCUUGGCAUGGGUCAGCCCUAAAGGACAUACAGAGCUGCUUAAUAUAGAAGCUUAUAUUACCUUUCUAAACCAAAGACUAACUCAUUUUUGUGUUUCCUGUUUUAACCUCGUAAAUAAUACUUUUUUUUUUUUUUUUUUAGUUAAUAGAUCAUUAGUUUGUUACAGGAGUAGCUACAGGUGUUGUCUUUGGUUUGGAGAUAUGAGUAUAAUCAACCUGGGGUAAGUGAUUGGUCCUUGGGACUGGGAAUAAUCUGAAUAUUGUUGUGAUUUUUGGUGUAAAGUAACCAUCUAUCACAUAGUCCAGCUUGCCUGGGUGGAAAGAUAAACUGGCAUGCCCAAGGGGACUAUCUGUGACUCCAUGGUAAAACUGUUACAGUGCUUUAGGAGUUCACACUUGUUAUUGUGAAGGUAAAAUCUAAUUAUAGAACAUACAGCCAGUUUGGGGUUUCUGUUGUGCUUUUUGACAGUCUGCCCUGAGGUUGGCACUCAUGGUCGUGAGCCACUCCAGACAGUGUGACAUGAACCAAAGAAGUGGAAAAACAAAAUGGAGGUUUCAAUCAGUUAGGAACAGCUUGUCUGGUGACCCAAAAACCUGAAAGUUUCAGAGAUCAAAUGUCCAAGCUUAUAUAUUCCACCCCAACUUAGAAACUAUUGAUAAUGUUCGCCUGAUAAGUCAGAAACACAUCUCUCUGAAUAAUCUGUCUGGUUUCUCUAACGUCUCAAAUCCUAUAAGCAGCCUGGAAAGAUGUUAAGUGAAAAGCAUUCGAUAUAAUUAGGGCUGUCACUUAAUCGCAGUUAAUGCAAGCAAUUUAAAAAAUAGUUGCGAUUAAUUGUAGUUUUAAUCACACUAAUAAUAAUAGAAUACCAAUUUAAUUUUAUUAUAAAUGUGUUGGAUAUUUUUCUACAUUUUCAAAUAUAUUGAUUUCAAUUACAGCACAGAAUAAGUGUACAGGACUCACUUUAUAUUACAACAGUGCCAUGUGAAUGCCUGUUCCCACUUUCUUGUGACAUUGUAAAUAAGAAGCGGGCAGUAUUAUCUCCUGUAAAUGUAAACAAACAUGUUUGUCUUAGCAAUUGGCUGAACAAGAAGUAGGACUUGCAGGCUCUAAAGUUUUACUUUUUGAGUGCACUUAUGUAAAAAAAAUAAAUAAAUUCUACAUUUGUAAAUUGCACUUUCACAAUAAAGAGGUUGCACGACAGUACUUGUAUUAGGUGAACUGAAAAAUAGUAUUUGUUUGUUUUUAAACAGUGUAAAUAUUUGUAAAAAAUAGUAUAAAGUGAGCACUGUAAACUUUAUACUCUAUGUUGCAAUUGAAAUCAAUAUAUUUGAAAAUGUAGAAAAAAAUCCAGAAAUAUUUAUAAUAAAUGUAAAUGUGUAUUCUAUUAUUGUUUAACUGUGCGAUUAAAACUAAUUAAUCACAACUAUUUUUUAAUCUUGCUAUUAAUUGAGGUUUUUUAUCAUUUGACAGCCCUAGAUAUAACCAAAGAAUGUGUGGUUCAUGUUCUAUAUAUUUAAAGAUUGUAAGGGAUUUUGUUUCAUUUCUUUGAAAAUGGUGGUUGCACCCUAGAAGUGGUAAGAACUGUAUGGCACUAGAAGGAAAAAGGAAUGUUGAAAGAUAUCUAGCCAGGGUAUAAUUUAGGAAUAUUAAGAGAAAUUGCUUAAAGAGCGGGAUCCCAAUGAAUAGUCAGGACAAACGAUGAAAUACAAUCUAUUAAAUGAAUUAAACCAUCUGACUGAAGGAAGCAUUAAAGAAAUUUAUUAUACACUGAUGCCAUCUACUGUAUAUCAAUGGAAGCAUCAGAAAAAUAGAGACAGCUGAGAGCCACAGGGCAACUGACCAAUAGAAAUCAGAGGCCCCUCUGAAGAGCCCUGAAAUCAGGAUACACAAAACUGAGGUCACUGUAUGGGACCCCAGAGUUUUUCCAGUACAGGUGUUAAGCAGAUCUCAAACUCCUCUCCCCUCCUCAUUCAGGGUCACAAGACCAAAAGUUGACUGAACUCGCAAAGAAGCUGCAGAAUCCCCAGUGUGAUCAACAUCUGGACCAGCUAUGUGGAAAGGAUUCUCCCUUAUUCCAGGGUUAAUAGGAUAAGAAGUGGUAGAGUGGAAAAUACACAGAGAACCAUACUACAGAACAAGAAAAAUACUGACAAACUUAUGGUACUGCUCCACAGAGAAGCUGUCUGGAGCACCCUAAACUCAGAAAUACACCCGGAAUAAAGGCAAGAAACUAAAAAUCUAAUUGUGAAGAGAGGAUCCAUUUCGAGUAAGACACAGAAAAGCCAUACAUACUUACAUAUUUGAGGAAGAGGUGCAGCUCCCUGUGAUCUGUGGGAUUGACGGUUGCCUCAAACAGAGUGGUUUUGGACGUGUUUCACCACAAAUGAAUCAGCAGUUCCAAUACUGAUACAUCAUUCAGAAAGGAAUAGGAUACACUCUCCUCCCCGCAUCAUGUCAUGCAGUGAGAUAAGUGAGUAGGUGCAGUAAACUUUCACUCAGUGAUGAAUAUGCUCCAUACUUGGCAAAGAUAUGCUGUUUUGUUGAACUUGUGUACUCCUAUAGUUUUACUGGGAGUACAUGUCAGGGGAUAACCUCACCAACUCAGGAUCCUUCCAUACCUCUGUUAGAGGACACUCCCCAGGUCAUCUGCAACAGGAGCUACAAAGGGACAUUACAAAGGGAAAACAAUGGCUUCUGAACAAACCUCUUAGCUGUCUCCACAGAAUGCUGUUCUGCCAACUCCUUCUGCAGUUCCCUCUCUUUAGCCUCUUUCUGCCCAAUAGGACAGUCUUCAGGCACAGUGAAUAAUGACAAGG